UCCUACGGGGGGCAGCAGUGGGGAAUAUUGGACAAUGGGCGCAAGCCUGAUCCAGCCAUGCCGCGUGGGUGAAGAAGGCCCUAGGGUUGUAAACCCCUUUCAGCGGGGAAGAUAAUGACGGUACCCGCAGAAGAAGCCCCGGCUAACUCCGUGCCAGCAGCCGCGGUAAUACGGAGGGGGCUAGCGUUGUUCGGAAUUACUGGGCGUAAAGCGCGCGUAGGCGGACCUGCAAGUCGGGGGUGAAAGCCCGAGGCUCAACCUCGGAACUGCCUUCGAUACUGCGGGUCUCGAGUCCGGGAGAGGUGAGUGGAAUUCCUAGUGUAGAGGUGAAAUUCGUAGAUAUUAGGAAGAACACCAGUGGCGAAGGCGGCUCACUGGCCCGGUACUGACGCUGAGGCGCGAAAGCGUGGGGAGCAAACAGGAUUAGAUACCCGGGUAGUCUU
This 443-nucleotide ribosomal RNA is filed under the name uncultured Hyphomicrobiaceae bacterium. Its description in RNAcentral is "bacterial SSU rRNA". It matches the Rfam family "Bacterial small subunit ribosomal RNA", at positions 337 to 797 of the family's 1533-position model. Lineage: Bacteria; Pseudomonadati; Pseudomonadota; Alphaproteobacteria; Hyphomicrobiales; Hyphomicrobiaceae. The record is from RNAcentral.